This 253-nucleotide ribosomal RNA is filed under the name uncultured bacterium. RNAcentral describes it as "partial 16S ribosomal RNA". It matches the Rfam family "Bacterial small subunit ribosomal RNA", at positions 524 to 776 of the family's 1533-position model. The record is from RNAcentral.
UACGUAGGGUGCGAGCGUUAAUCGGAAUUACUGGGCGUAAAGCGUGCGCAGGCGGUUUUGUAAGUUUGUCGUGAAAGCCCCGGGCUCAACCUGGGAAUUGCGAUGAAGACUGCAAGGCUUGAAUCUGGCAGAGGGGGGUAGAAUUCCACGUGUAGCAGUGAAAUGCGUAGAGAUGUGGAGGAACACCGAUGGCGAAGGCAGCCCCCUGGGUCAAGAUUGACGCUCAUGCACGAAAGCGUGGGGAGCAAACAGG